Molecule: ribosomal RNA, 253 nt
Filed under: uncultured bacterium
Lineage: Bacteria
Description: partial 16S ribosomal RNA
Rfam family: Bacterial small subunit ribosomal RNA
Source: RNAcentral
UACGAAGGUGGCAAGCGUUACUCGGAAUUACUAGGCGUAAAGGGCAGGUAGGUGGUUUAGUUAGUCUGCUGUGAAAGCUCCUGGCUCAACUGGGAGAGGCCAGCAGAUACUACUAGGCUUGAGUAUAGGAGAGGGUACUGGAAUUCCCGGUGUAGCGGUGAAAUGCGCAGAGAUCGGGAGGAACACCGAUGGCGAAAGCAGGUACCUGGACUAUUACUGACACUCAGCUGCGAAAGCUAAGGGAGCAAACAGG